Equus caballus (horse) is the source of this 448-nucleotide long non-coding RNA. RefSeq lists it as uncharacterized. The record is from RefSeq and is a predicted model, not a curated record. NCBI's taxonomy places the organism in Eukaryota, Metazoa, Chordata, Mammalia, Perissodactyla, Equidae.
CUCACUUUAAAUUCAUGCUCUUCUGUUUUAAAUUCACCAAUAAAGAGUAAGCCCUCAAAAUCCUAGGCCCCCACCCCCAUAAAAGCAGGACCCAGGCCUGUGCACUCUCUCUCUAUCCUCACGGCCUUGCUAUGUGGCCCCCGGUGUGCUGUGCAACUUCCAGGUCUGAAUACCCUAAAGGGAACCCAUUAGGACCCACUAUAAGCAGAGGACAGGAAGUGAUGCUCCAUAUAAAGAUGAAGAAACCAAGUCCACUGGCUGAUAAAUGACAGAGCUGGAACCAGACCUCAAGUCUCCUAAUGUUUAUUCAGUGCCUCUACUGAUGCUUGGUGAUAAAAAUGUAUCAAUGUAUAAUGUAGUUAGUAUGAUGCUUCAUUUCAUGUGUUAACUUGACUGGGCCGUGGAAAAAUCAGAUAUUUCCUCAAACAUUGUGUUGGUGUUUCUGUGA